UACGUAGGUGGCAAGCGUUGUCCGGAUUUAUUGGGCGUAAAGCGAGCGCAGGUGGUCUUUUAAGUCUGUUGUGAAAGCCCUCAGCUCAACUGAGGAAGUGCAGCGGAAACUAGAAGACUUGAGUACAGAAGAGGAUAGUGGAACUCCAUGUGUAGCGGUGAAAUGCGUAGAUAUAUGGAAGAACACCAGUGGCGAAGGCGGCUAUCUGGUCUGUUACUGACACUGAGGCUCGAAAGCAUGGGUAGCGAACAGG
Molecule: ribosomal RNA, 253 nt
Filed under: uncultured bacterium
Lineage: Bacteria
Description: partial 16S ribosomal RNA
Rfam family: Bacterial small subunit ribosomal RNA
Source: RNAcentral